GUGCUUGCUUCGGCAGCACAUAUACUAAAUUGGAACAAUACAGAGAAGAUUAACAUGGCCCCUGUGCAAAAAUGGCAUGCAAAUUCAUGAAGCAUUCCAUCUUUUU
Small nuclear RNA from Sorex fumeus (smoky shrew), 106 nucleotides. NCBI's taxonomy places the organism in Eukaryota, Metazoa, Chordata, Mammalia, Eulipotyphla, Soricidae. The record is from RefSeq and is a predicted model, not a curated record.